Mycena rosella is the source of this 99-nucleotide non-coding RNA. Lineage: Eukaryota; Fungi; Basidiomycota; Agaricomycetes; Agaricales; Mycenaceae. The record is from the annotation of a GenBank genome assembly.
GGCCCGAUGGUGUAGUUGGUUAUCACAUCUGCUUCACAUGGUAAUUCUUUACCUAAUAUUGUGCGCAGGCGGUCCUCGGUUCGAGCCCGGGUCGGGUCA